CUGAAAACACCGGUUCACGUUCGAUCACUAAAGUUAAGUGGCGUUGAGCCCGGUUAGUAUUUAGAUGGGGGACUGUUUAAGAAGACUGGGU
Molecule: non-coding RNA, 91 nt
Organism: Acanthosepion pharaonis
Lineage: Eukaryota; Metazoa; Mollusca; Cephalopoda; Sepiida; Sepiidae
Source: the annotation of a GenBank genome assembly